Molecule: ribosomal RNA, 409 nt
Filed under: Chelator sp.
Lineage: Eukaryota; Metazoa; Arthropoda; Malacostraca; Isopoda; Desmosomatidae
Description: partial 16S ribosomal RNA
Source: RNAcentral
GUAGCAUAAUCGUUUGUCCUCUAAUUGUGGGCUGGRAUGANGGAGUUGACGAUGCUUUGUCUUUUUUAGCUAAUAAAUGGAAGUUGAUAUUUGCACUAAAAAGUGCAACUUUUUAGGGGGACGAUAAGACCCUAUAAAACUUUAAUUUAUCUUGUCUUAUUAUAUUUAAGGUAAAAUAAGGCUCUUGAAUUAAGCUGGGGCGGCAACUAAUAGACACUAGAAGGGGUAACAUAUCUAGUGGGGUUAAAGAUCUUAAAGAGAAGUAGAACAAGUUACUUUAGGGAUAACAGCACAAUUUUUUUAUAUAGAACGCAUAGAAUAAAAAGACUUGUGACCUCGAUGUUGAAUUUGGGGGGCCCUAUUAAAGCAGAAAUUAUUGAGGGGGGUCUGUUCGACCUUUAUUUCCCCA